GAUGAAGAACGUAGCGAAAUGCGAUAAGUAAUGUGAAUUGCAGAAUUCAGUGAAUCAUCGAGUCUUUGAACGCACAUUGCGCCCCCUGGUAUUCCGGGGGGCAUGCCUGUCCGAGCGUCAUUGCCGCCCUCAAGCACGGCUUGCGUGUUGGGCCCCCGCCCCCCGGCUUCGGGGGGCGGGCCCGAAAGGCAGCGGCGGCACCGCGUCCGGUCCUCGAGCGUAUGGGGCUUCGUCACCCGCUCUGUAGGCCCGGCCGGCGCCCGCCGGCGACCCCAAUCAAUCUUUCCAGGUUGACCUCGGAUCAGGUAGGGAUACCCGCUGAACUUAAGCAUAUCAAUAAGCGGAGGA
RNAcentral lists this unclassified non-coding RNA (348 nucleotides) under soil metagenome. Its description in RNAcentral is "partial contains 5.8S ribosomal RNA, internal transcribed spacer 2, and large subunit ribosomal RNA". The stretch from base 1 to 120 matches the Rfam family "5.8S ribosomal RNA", at positions 35 to 154 of the family's 154-position model. The record is from RNAcentral.